This 1382-nucleotide long non-coding RNA is filed under the name Equus caballus (horse). Its description in RNAcentral is "lncRNA (ENSECAG00000049447.1)". Lineage: Eukaryota; Metazoa; Chordata; Mammalia; Perissodactyla; Equidae. The record is from RNAcentral.
GUCUGUGUCUGAUCCCGCUGUUUUAUUUCUGCCUCCUCCCAUCAUGGAAGAAUUAGACCUUGGUCGUAUCCCAAGACCCUGGGCUCUGUGGACACGAGGCGCCCUGAGAUCUCUCGAGGGCCCCUGCUACACGGGGCUGGGGCAGGAGAGCCCAGGUGAUGUGGAUUUCUGAAGCCAGAGUCAUUCCAGAUGCUCCCUGCAGACUGUGGCUGGCAAGAAUGAAGGAGCUAGAAGCCUGUUGCAAUAACGCCAGAGAUGACAACGGCUACAUAUGGCAGGUACCAGAAAGAGAGGAAUUGGGUGGUCUCCUGGAACUGUGGCUUCCUCUUUCUUUUGUCUUAAGCAGUGACCAGGCUGUGUCUGAAGGAAGUUCAGUUCAGUCCCUUCUUCUGUGAAACUGCUGAAGCUCUCUGCUCAGGAAGACUCAGAAACCCUGGCUCCGUGGUCAUUCCCUCUUUUCUCUCCCAUCUUCCCUGCUCUUCCGAGGGAGCAGAGCCGCUGGCUCACCGAUUUGCCCAGCACUGAGUUUCUCUGACGCUGGUGAGGCCCCCUCUUCUGAAGGGCUUCACGGGGGUGCCCUCCCGUGCCCUGAGCUGGGGGCCAGGCCGGGCGGGGCUGGGACGGGCUGUUCACAGAGGGAGCGGUCAAAGGACUUAAUUCUGUCAGUAAAUUCCACCUUUCCGCAUCCCAGUGGAUCACUUUAUCUCACUCCUUUCUUAAAUUUCAUCGACUGACCUUCAAGAGUGCAGAAGCCCAGGGGUGUACAGCCAGACCGAGCCGUCUCCAAGGUGCGGGGACUGAGGACCCACAUGCGGAGGGAUUUGAGCCCUGAGCGCUUUUUAUUAGUUUUCCUAAGGUGGUUUAAGGCACAAGAGAAGGUACACAAAGGCCUGGAAGUAGGUCAGGAUGGAUCAGCAUGGCAAAGCCGCCAAGGGCAGGAGGUAAAGGCCUCGCCUGCUAAGACAGGGAAAGCAUGGUGGUCUUCCCUGCGAGCUGCCAGACCCAGGGAGGCUCUGGUGUCUGAGCUCGGUGUUGACACAGGACCCUGAUGACCGGCAGGGCCAUGUCCCCAGAGCGUCCCCCCCCCACCUCCUGGCUGUGCUGCAUCUCCCCAACACCAACAGGGUGCACUGGGGGACACUGGCCUUGGACUCAGAGAGUCUCAGCUCUGCCCCAAACUAUCGGGAUUUUCAGAAGCCACCAUCUCUGAGCCUGUGACAACGGACGAUGACACUUGUCCACCUGCUUCCCAGGGUUGCUCAGUGAUGAUGAGCUCGUGUGCACGAAAUCCCUGUGGGGGUCGUAAGGCUCAGGCUCUAUAUAACUGGAGACCAUUGUUCCUAGUCGUUUAUAUUUUCCACUAAGACAAACAAAUGUUCCAG